GAUGAACGCUGGCGGCGUGCCUAAUACAUGCAAGUCGAGCGAACAGACGAGGCGCUUGCUCCUUUGACGUUAGCGGCGGACGGGUGAGUAACACGUAGGUAACCUACCUAUAAGACUGGGAUAACUUCGGGAAACCGGAGCUAAUACCGGAUAAUAUUUCGAACCGCAUGGUUCGAUAGUGAAAGAUGGCUUUGCUAUCACUUAUAGAUGGACUUGCGCCGUAUUAGCUAGUUGGUACGGUAACGGCUUACCAAGGCAACGAUACGUAGCCGACCUGAGAGGGUGAUAGGCCACACUGGAACUGAGACACGGUCCAGACUCCUACGGGAGGCAGCAGUAGGGAAUCUUCCGCAAUGGGCGAAAGCCUGACGGAGCAACGCCGCGUGAGUGAUGAAGGUCUUCGGAUCGUAAAACUCUGUUAUUAGGGAAGAACAAACGUGUAAGUAACUGUGCACGUCUUGACGGUACCUAAUCAGAAAGCCACGGCUAACUACGUG
RNAcentral lists this ribosomal RNA (497 nucleotides) under uncultured bacterium. RNAcentral describes it as "partial 16S ribosomal RNA". It matches the Rfam family "Bacterial small subunit ribosomal RNA", at positions 28 to 507 of the family's 1533-position model. The record is from RNAcentral.